CAAAACUUGAAGACGCUGCUGGAAGAUGGAGCCGGGAGCACUUUGCAGCCUGUCGCCGCGGCAACAGAGCAACCCCAAGGAGCCGUUGGACUGAAAGCGAGCUGUUCCGGUCCGUCCAAGGACACGUUGGCGUGGUUCAACCUGUUUGCAGACUUGGACCCCCUGGCCAACCCGGAUGCGGUCGGCAAUAGCCACACCGAGCAACAACUUUACAAUGCUUAGUUAGCUACAGUAGCUAGCCAUCCACACGAGCCUGCGAGCUUCCAACCAAGCAAACAUUCAAGGGAUUUCAUCUGCACUUCCUGUUAAUGGUGAAAAAUGCAAACAGAAUGUGACCAAAAUGAGCUUCAGACCAGAUCUUAACGCGCACAUUAUUUUAGCUAAGCCAAAGACGACGACGGACUCAAAUAUAAACUCUGGCGUGUCGGAAAUAAAACAUAUCAUGACAAUACA
This is a long non-coding RNA of Hippocampus comes (tiger tail seahorse), 453 nucleotides long. RefSeq lists it as uncharacterized. NCBI's taxonomy places the organism in Eukaryota, Metazoa, Chordata, Actinopteri, Syngnathiformes, Syngnathidae. The transcript has 3 exons. The record is from RefSeq and is a predicted model, not a curated record.